AUAAUAUGCAUAACGAUUACGAGUAUAUUGUAUUAUUUCGUUAUAGCCGUGUUGAGUGCAGAAACGCGAAAGUUUUAACGACUGUCGAGCGCGUCAAUCGAGAUUAUCGCAACCCGUAUAUAGGUACCUAGGUGAUCAAUUUUUUCUUUAUUCGUAAUAAUAAUAACACAUUAAUGCGCUUAUCGGUUUCCCGUAGUAAUAAUAUUGACAUAAACGUAUAACAAUAUUGACGGACUACACGUUUUUACGCGAUUACGCGCGUCCGUAUAAAUCUGUCAAAUCCCGAAAAUUAUAAACUGUUUGCCGAACGCACUUUCGUUGAAACAAAGAGGAGCGGGCAGAGCGCAAAAUAAUAAUAUUAUUCAUUGUUAAAUUAUAUAGGUACCUACACGAAGCGUAAUACAUUUUCGCAUAAUAAUCGAUAUUUGAAUUUAUAUUAUUUUAUUAUUUACAACGUCGCUUUCAAUCGGCUGUGGAUAUCGGCGUGCACGAUAUUGACGUGCGUGAUAAUUAUCAGAGAGAGGGUCUACGCGGAUUUCGGAGGAAUUUGCUUCCCCCCUCACUACCCUCUCCCGCUAUAAAUAAUAUACGUACAGUAAAAAAACGAAGCUUUUCAAAAUAUUUAUAUAAAUUUGAUUUAUAUAGAGUGAUUCAACACGUCAGAUUUAAAAUCGUUAUAAAUUGAAUUUGUUCUUUUAAUGCGAAAAACAAUUUUCGGGAGAUCUUGUGACGGUUUAAUCGUGGAAAAAAAAUACAACGCUAUUACGACUCCCACCCUCGGUCCGUAAAAUUCACCACAAUUCGUUCACAUAUUUUCAUUUCUUUUAUGUCCGUGACAAGUUGAAUAUUUCGUUUUAGUCCCGCUAAAUUUCAGGGUUUGUUUUGAUAAACCUGUGUGUCUUAGCGAUCCCCAUAGGAAUAAAUCGAAAGGUAUUAAAUCAUUGUAGGAUUGCGGUGGGUAGUUUCGGUCUCCUCGCGACGAGAUUAAUCUGUUUUGUGUACUUAUUUAUCCGUGGUGAUUACAACGCUAACUAACUCUAACACCAAAAACGCUUAUCACAAAACCCCAAUGAAAGCCGAAAAUCACAAAAACAGUGAUGCUGAAUAAAAAAUGAAGAACAUUUAAAAUCCAACGUUCUAUAUUAUGAAUCACCCUUUACAUUGUAUCGUUUAGAAUAGAAUAUAUAUAUUGAUUUUAUAUGUGUUUUUUUUUACAAUAAAAAACUUUUUAACCUACAGAAAUUUCGCUCCAGUCGUUAACAACGGGUGAAAUUUCUGCGGGUAUAGCGAAGUUUACUAAGUCGAUGCAUGGGGGACGUCAUUUUUGAUUUUUCUUGUAGUUUUCUUAAUCUACGGAGGGAAACGUCAGAAAACGGGAAUAUUAAAACCGAAACCUUAACUUAAUUAAAAGUUAUCCAAUGAAUCAACCCGUCAUUUCUUUAACAUUGUCUAGUUCAACUUGUAUUUACUAUUUAAAUAUAAACAACGUCUCCUGUAAAUAUCGACUUUUUUUUUUUGUAUUGACUAAAUAUGAUUAGCAUUUUUUGAAUUCUUAAUGGUAUAUAGAAUAAUUGUCAGCUAUAUAAUAUUCUUCAGUGGUAAAAUAAACGAUCUUAUAAGGUUCUUUCUUUAAAAUAGGUUCUAAGUAUAAACUUAAAAUGAUUUUCAAUGUUUUGUGCAUAGUUUUUAUUGUUUCAAAAUUCAUAAUCUAGUUACGUAGAUACAUAAUGAACUAAAACCAGCGGGUAAACAUCGUUCGUAUAAUUUAUUCAAAAGUUAGUCGUUAAUAUUUGCAUCUUGUCAUAUAAGCACGAAUCGUGUUUAAUAUGUUCUACAUAAAUCGGCAGGUAGGUACCUAUACAAGAAAGAAUAGUGGCUCGUACUUUU
Molecule: non-coding RNA, 1887 nt
Organism: Cinara cedri
Lineage: Eukaryota; Metazoa; Arthropoda; Insecta; Hemiptera; Aphididae
Source: the annotation of a GenBank genome assembly